CAGAGGGUGCAAACGUUGUUCGGAAUUACUGGGCGUAAAGCGCGUGUAGGUGGCAAGGCAAGUCGGGUGUGAAAGCCCUGGGCUCAACCCAGGAAGUGCACUCGAUACUGCCUCGCUAGAGUCCCGGAGAGGUUGGUGGAACUCUCGGUGUAGAGGUGAAAUUCGUAGAUAUCGAGAAGAACACCGGUGGCGAAGGCGGCCAACUGGACGGUGACUGACACUGAGACGCGAAAGCGUGGGGAGCAAACAGGAUUAGAUACCCUGGUAGUCCACGCCGUAAACGAUGGGUGCUAGGUGUCACGGGUAUUGACCCCUGUGGCGCCGUAGCUAACGCAUUAAGCACCCCGCCUGGGAAGCACGGCCGCAAGGCUA
Molecule: ribosomal RNA, 372 nt
Filed under: uncultured organism
Description: bacterial SSU rRNA
Rfam family: Bacterial small subunit ribosomal RNA
Source: RNAcentral